This is a non-coding RNA of Macaca mulatta (Rhesus monkey), 1877 nucleotides long. NCBI's taxonomy places the organism in Eukaryota, Metazoa, Chordata, Mammalia, Primates, Cercopithecidae. The record is from RefSeq and is a predicted model, not a curated record.
CUGGUGCUGCUGUAUUGUGGACCCUGUGCUGUCUCUUAGCCAAGAUGCCUGAGGAAACCCAGACCCAAGACCAACCGAUGGAGGAGGAGGAGGUUGAGAUGUUCGCCUUUCAGGCAGAAAUUGCCCAGUUGAUGUCACUGAUCAUCAAUACUUUCUACUCGAACAAAGAGAUCUUUCUGAGAUAGUUCAUUUCAAAUUCAUCAGAUGCAUUGGACAAACUCUGGUAUGAAAGCUUGAUGGAUCCCAGUAAAUGAGACUCUGGGAAAGAGCUGCAUAUUAACCCUGUACCAAACAAACAAGAUCGAACUCUCACUAUUGUGGAUACUGGAAUUGGAAUGACCAAGGCUGACUUGAUCAAUAACCUUGGUACUGUCACCAAGUCUGGGACCAAAGCGUUCAUAGAAACUUUGCAGGCUGGUGCAGAUAUCUCUAUGAUUGUCCAGUUCUGUGUUGGUUUUUAUUUUGCUUAUUUGGUUGCUGAGAAAGUAACUGUGAUCACCAAACAUAAUGAUGAUGAGCAGUAUGCCUGGGAGUCCUCAGCAGUGUGAAUGAUCAUUCACAGUGAGGACAGACACGGGUGAACCUAUGGGUUGUGGAACAAAGGUUAUCCUACACCAGAAGGAAGACCAAACUGAGUACUUGGAGGAAUGAAGAAUAAAGGAGAUUGUGAAGAAACAUUCUCAGUUUAGUGGAUAUCCCAUUACUCUUUUUGUGGAGAAGGAAUGUGAUAAAGAAGUCAGCGAUGAUGAGGCUGAAGAAAAGGAACACAAAGAAGCAGAAAUAGAAAAAGAAGAGAAAGAGUCUGAAGACAAACCUGAAAUUGAAGAUGUUGGUUCUGAUGAGGAAGAAGAAGAAAAGAAGGAUGGUGACAAGAAGAAGAAGAGGAAGAUUAAGGAAAAGUACAUGGAUCAAGAACUCAACAAAACAAAGACCAUCUGGACCAGAAAUCCCAAUGAUAUUACUAAUGAGGAGUACGGAGAAUUCUACAAGAGCUUGACCAAUGACUGGGAAGAUCACUUGGCAGUGAAGCGUCUUUCAGUUGAAGGACAGUUGGAAUUCAGAGUCCUUCUAUUUGUCCCACAACGUGCUCCUUUUGGCCUGUUUGAAAACAAAAAGAAAAAGAACAACAUCAAAUUGUAUGUUUUCAUCAUGGAUAACUGUGAGGAGCUAAUCCCUGAAUAUCUGAACUUCAUUAGAAGGGUGGUAGACCUGGAGGAUCUUCCUCCAAAUAUUUCCCAUGAGAUGCUGCAACAAAGCAAAAUUUUGAAAGUUAUCAGGAAGAAUUUGGUCAAAAAAAUGCUUAUAACUCUUUGCUGAACUGGCAGAAGAUAAAGAGAACUACAAGAAGUUCUAUGAGCAGUUCUCUAAAAACAUAAAGCUUGGAAUACAUGAAGACUCUCAAAAUCAGAAGAAGCUUUCAGAGCUAUUAAGUUACUACACAUCUGCCUCUGGUGAUGAGAUGGGUUCUCUCAAGGACUGCUGCACCAGAAUGAAGGAAAACCAGAAACAUAUCUAUUAUAUCACAGGUGAGACCAAGGACCAGGUAGCUAACUCAGCCUUUGUGGAAAGUCUUCGGAAACAUGGCUUAGAAGUGAUCUAUAUGAUCGAGCCCAUUGGUGAAUACUGUGUCCAACAGCUGAAGGAAUUUGAGGGGAAGACCUUAGUGUCAGUCACCAAAGAGGGCUUGGAAGUUCCAUUAUUUUAAACAUUUUUCUUUUUUAUGAAGCUAAUAUUCUAGAGGAAGAAGAGAGGUAAAUGCUAUAUAGUAAAUAAAUAGGUAAAUGUUAAAUAUAACUUUGAAUAGUCUUCAAUGAACAGAAAGGGGGAAAUUUUAGUAUGGAAUAAGAGGGAUCUGGCUAAAGGAAGAGAUGCUGAGA